AUUGAACGCUGGCGGCAGGCCUAACACAUGCAAGUCGAACGGUAGCACAGAGAGCUUGCUCUCGGGUGACGAGUGGCGGACGGGUGAGUAAUGUCUGGGAAACUGCCCGAUGGAGGGGGAUAACUACUGGAAACGGUAGCUAAUACCGCAUAACGUCGCAAGACCAAAGUGGGGGACCUUCGGGCCUCACACCAUCGGAUGUGCCCAGAUGGGAUUAGCUAGUAGGUGGGGUAAUGGCUCAACUAGGCGACGAUCCCUAGCUGGUCUGAGAGGAUGACCAGCCACCCUGGAACUGAGACACGGUCCAGACUCCUACGGGAGGCAGCAGUGGGGAAUAUUGCACAAUGGGCGCAAGCCUGAUGCAGCCAUGCCGCGUGUAUGAAGAAGGCCUUCGGGUUGUAAAGUACUUUCAGCGGGGAGGAAGGCGGUGAAGUUAAUAGCUUCACCGAUUGACGUUACCCGCAGAAGAAGCACCGGCUAACUCCGUGCCAGCCGCCGCAGUAA
Molecule: ribosomal RNA, 504 nt
Filed under: uncultured bacterium
Lineage: Bacteria
Description: partial 16S ribosomal RNA
Rfam family: Bacterial small subunit ribosomal RNA
Source: RNAcentral